This 68-nucleotide transfer RNA is filed under the name Acanthosepion pharaonis. RNAcentral describes it as "Sepia pharaonis tRNA-Ala". Lineage: Eukaryota; Metazoa; Mollusca; Cephalopoda; Sepiida; Sepiidae. The record is from RNAcentral.
GGCAUUAUAUUUUAUAAAGAAAAUAUGAUUUGCAAUCAUAAAGAAAGAUUUAUAUAUCUUUAAUUCCU